This 333-nucleotide unclassified non-coding RNA is filed under the name soil metagenome. RNAcentral's name for it is "partial contains 5.8S ribosomal RNA, internal transcribed spacer 2, and large subunit ribosomal RNA". The stretch from base 1 to 120 matches the Rfam family "5.8S ribosomal RNA", at positions 35 to 154 of the family's 154-position model. The record is from RNAcentral.
GAUGAAGAACGCAGUGAAAUGCGAUACGUAAUGUGAAUUGCAGAAUUCAGUGAAUCAUCGAAUCUUUGAACGCACAUUGCGCCUGCCAGCACUCUGGCAGGCAUGCCUGUUCGAGCGUCAUUUCAACCAUCAAGCCCUAGGCUUGCGUUGGAGCCCUGCGGCUGCCGCAGGCCCCUAAAAGCAGUGGCGGGCUCGCUAUCACACCGAGUGCAGUAGAUUACUCUUCGCUCAGGGCGUGGGGUGGGUUCCAGCCGUGAAACCCCCUACUUCUCAAGGUUGACCUCGGAUCAGGUAGGAAUACCCGCUGAACUUAAGCAUAUCAUAAGCGGAGGA